GACGAACGCUGGCGGCGUGCUUAACACAUGCAAGUCGUACGGUAAGGCCCUUUCGGGGGUACACGAGUGGCGAACGGGUGAGUAACACGUGAGUAACCUGCCCACAACUUUGGGAUAACGCUAGGAAACUGGUGCUAAUACUGGAUAUGUGCUCCUGCUGCAUGGUGGGGGUUGGAAAGCUCCGGCGGUUGUGGAUGGACUCGCGGCCUAUCAGCUUGUUGGUGGGGUAGUGGCCUACCAAGGCGGCGACGGGUAGCCGGCCUGAGAGGGUGACCGGCCACAUUGGGACUGAGAUACGGCCCAGACUCCUACGGGAGGCAGCAGUGGGGAAUAUUGCACAAGGGGCGCAAGCCUGAUGCAGCAACGCCGCGGGCGGGAUAACGGCCUUCGGGUUGUAAACCGCUUUCAGCAGGGACGAAGCUUUUUGUGACGGUACCUGCAGAAGAAGCACCGGCUAACUACGUG
RNAcentral lists this ribosomal RNA (465 nucleotides) under uncultured bacterium. RNAcentral describes it as "partial 16S ribosomal RNA". It matches the Rfam family "Bacterial small subunit ribosomal RNA", at positions 28 to 507 of the family's 1533-position model. The record is from RNAcentral.